AAGUUUCAUCAGCUCCGAGUUGUUUAUUCUAAACCUAUUGAGGUAUGAUAGACAACCGAUGGGUGCAGUAGGAAACGACUGUGCCUCCCCUUUUGGAAAGGAGCGUUACCAUUAAUAUU
This 119-nucleotide non-coding RNA is filed under the name Sporomusa sphaeroides. RNAcentral's name for it is "Sporomusa sp. MoCo sequence". It matches the Rfam family "Molybdenum/Tungsten riboswitch aptamer (Moco RNA motif)". The record is from RNAcentral. Lineage: Bacteria; Bacillati; Bacillota; Negativicutes; Selenomonadales; Sporomusaceae. RNAcentral also lists the same sequence under 1 other name.